AAAUUGAAGAGUUUGAUCAUGGCUCAGAUUGAACGCUGGCGGCAGGCCUAACACAUGCAAGUCGAACGGUAACAGGAAGCAGCUUGCUGUUUCGCUGACGAGUGGCGGACGGGUGAGUAAUGUCUGGGAAACUGCCUGAUGGAGGGGGAUAACUACUGGAAACGGUGGCUAAUACCGCAUAACGUCGCAAGACCAAAGAGGGGGACCUUCGGGCCUCUUGCCAUCAGAUGUGCCCAGAUGGGAUU
This 245-nucleotide ribosomal RNA is filed under the name Salmonella enterica. RNAcentral describes it as "partial 16S ribosomal RNA". It matches the Rfam family "Bacterial small subunit ribosomal RNA", at positions 1 to 242 of the family's 1533-position model. The record is from RNAcentral. RNAcentral also lists the same sequence under 1 other name. Lineage: Bacteria; Pseudomonadati; Pseudomonadota; Gammaproteobacteria; Enterobacterales; Enterobacteriaceae.